This 253-nucleotide ribosomal RNA is filed under the name uncultured bacterium. RNAcentral's name for it is "partial 16S ribosomal RNA". It matches the Rfam family "Bacterial small subunit ribosomal RNA", at positions 524 to 776 of the family's 1533-position model. The record is from RNAcentral.
UACGUAGGGACCAAGCGUUGUUCGGAUUUACUGGGCGUAAAGGGCGCGUAGGCGGCAAUUCAAGUCAGCUGUGAAAUCUCAGGGCUCAACCCUGAAACUGCAUUCGAUACUGCCUUGCUCGAGGACUGGAGAGGAGAUUGGAAUUCACGGUGUAGCAGUGAAAUGCGUAGAUAUCGUGAGGAAGACCAGUGGCGAAGGCGGAUCUCUGGACAGUUCCUGACACUGAGGCACGAAGGCCAGGGGAGCAAACGGG